Molecule: RNA transcript, 2121 nt
Organism: Pistacia vera
Lineage: Eukaryota; Viridiplantae; Streptophyta; Magnoliopsida; Sapindales; Anacardiaceae
Gene name: ruvB-like protein 1
Exons: 5
Source: RefSeq, a predicted model, not a curated record
UUCCCAAUCUCAUAACCUUACCUACCUCUUCUCUUCUCCACGCAAAUCCCUCCCUGUUUCCCCAAAUUCCCAAUUUCUUCUCCACGCAAAUCCCUGGCGAUUACCCCAAUAGAAGAAGUUUCAGUUGGUGCUCAUUUGAUGGAUUGAUGGACCACGUCAGACUUGGUAUGUAUUGUGUUAGGAAACUGGUAAUGGGUUAGAUGAUGAAGCCGAGGAAAACAGAAAUUACUGAAAAACUACGUCAAGAAAUAAAUAAGGUUGUUAAUCAGUAUAUUGAUGAAUGUGUGGCAGAGCUUGUACCUGGAGUUCUAUUCAUUCAUGAGGUUCAUAUGCUGGACAUGGAGAGCUUUUCAUACUUGAUUCGUAGCUCACUAUCUCCAAUCGUAAUCCUUGCUACAAAUAGAGGAAUAUGUAACGUAUGAAAAAGUAAAUAAAUAAAUCUCUGAGAAGAUAUGCCUGCUGCAAACCUUCUUGAGGCCUGAGCAUUUGGAUAUACAGGCGGUACUUCAAAAUGAAGCUUCAUGGCUGGUAUGGCUACUGACCUUCUUUUAUUGUGGGAAGUUUAUUUUGUUUGGAUUGAAAUUAAUCUUACACUGCUUAUUGUAGGACUAGGCAUAGUUUUCUAAGUGUUUUUGAUGUGAUGGUGGUGCUGUAAUUGAGCAUUUUUAAUGCUUUAUAUUAUGAUUGCCUUUUGUUCCAUUUAAAUUGUGAACUUCAAUAAAUAAAUAUUAGAGAAUGUGAACUGAAUGGUUGAUGUAUCAUCGUAACAUAAAUAUUUUUUAUUGUUGCUCAAGAAGUGAAAUAUAGGUUCUAGAAUAAAAAGAAAAACCAUAGAGAGAAGACCAGUCCCCUGUUUUUAUAGUUCUAAUUUUAGACAGAACGUGAUAAACAAAAUGAUAAUUAUGUUAGAAUAGGCAGUAUUUUGAAAACACUAGAUGAAGUUACAGAGAUGGGCAUAUGCUUAAAUUUACACACUUAAUUGGACUAUUAUGAUUAGACGUUAGAUGCAGCAUUACUAUGGCUCCAAAGGAAAGGGAAAUGUCUGGCUGCAUGCAUGUUCCACUGGCCAUCUUAUUCUUUGUGUUUUAUAAAUAUUAUGUUCCUAAUCCCACAUCUUUCAGUUAAUAUGGGAAAUUGUGGAAUAUAAAUAAGGUGAACAAGUAAUGCAGAUCAUGCCACAAGAGACUUGGUUCAAUUUCAUUGAUCCGGGCGGGAAAGUCCUCAGGCCUUCUUCUGCAGAGAUGUGCAGUGUCGUAUGAAGGAACUUUAAUGGAUAAAGUUCUUGGAACCGCGGUGGUUUCAAGAACUUUAUCCAGCACAAAAAGAAAAAAGUAUUUAAUAUGAUUCACCUAUACAAAUAUACAACUUUGUUUUCCUGUUUACUAAUUUUAUUUCAAUUUAUGGUCAAUGAUGAUAUGAACUGUUAAGGCGCACCAACUUGGGGAGUCUGUCGGUCCUAUACAAUUAUUUCAUGACACUUGUUGGAGCGCCGAGAAAGGGUGGAUUAAUGAACAAGCAAGAGAGCUAUAUGAAAAAAUGAUAGAGCUGCAAGAUGAAACACAAGCAGGGGAAAGUGAAAAAACUGAAGUUGAAAUAUGUGAGGAAGUUCUGGGUAAAGCUUCCGGAUUUAACCAGAAUUUUGCAUUUUCACAGACUGAGCAUCAAUCCACUGCAACAGAAGCAGAGUUAAGGUGUAUUGUGCAACAACAAGAAAAUAAGAUUAAGUAGUUGGAGGAGCAACUCAUCUUAUUUGAUCAACAAAAAGAGAAAAUAAAAAGCCUUGAACACCAACAAUUUGUUCUGUUGGAGAUGAUGAAGCAGCUAACUAUAGCCCUUGAACUACAUCAAUCUGAUAAAGCUCCAACUCGAUAGCCAUUGCCAUCUCCACCGGAUGAAGACUCAUCCUCAUCAGCUACAGCUAUUUCAAAAACCGCAACUGGUGACACUUGACAUGCUAACGGUAUUGAUGGUUAUUUUUUUGUUGUAUGGGCAGUAGAUAUUUUGAAAUGGGGGUAGAACCAUCUUUUUAGGAUUGUUUGCAUAUAUAUGUUAGAUGGUGCACAUAGGGUGGGCAUUUUUUUGUUAGUUAUGCACAGAUAGAUAGGUAGUGGGGAAAAUGUG